This 305-nucleotide ribosomal RNA is filed under the name uncultured bacterium. Its description in RNAcentral is "bacterial SSU rRNA". It matches the Rfam family "Bacterial small subunit ribosomal RNA", at positions 335 to 633 of the family's 1533-position model. The record is from RNAcentral.
UUUCCUAUGGGCGCAGCAGUGGGGAAUAUUGCGCAAUGGACGAAAGUCUGACGCAGCGACGCCGCGUGAGGGAUGAAGGUUUUCGGAUCGUAAACCUCUGUCAGGAGGGAAGAAAGCGCAUGGCGCCAAUCAGCCAUGCGUUGACGGUACCUCCAAAGGAAGCGCCGGCUAACUCCGUGCCAGCAGCCGCGGCAAUACGGAGGGCGCGAGCGUUAAUCGGAAUUACUGGGCGUAAAGCGCGCGUAGGCUGUUGUGUAAGUUGGGGGUGAAAUCCCACGGCUCAACCGUGGAACAGCCCUUGAUAG